AUUGAACGCUGGCGGCAGGCCUAACACAUGCAAGUCGAACGAGUGGCGGACGGGUGAGUCAUGUCUGUGAAACUGCCUGAUGGCUGGGGUUAACUACUGGAAACGGCAGCUAAUCCCGCAUACCAUCGGAUGUUCCCAGAUGGUAUUAGCUAGUAGGUGGGGUAAAGGCUCACCUAGGCGACGAUCCCUAGCUGGUCUGAGAGGUUGACCGGCCACACUGGAACUGAGACACGGUCCAGACUCCUACGGGAGGCAGCAGUAGGGAAUAUUGCGCAAUGGGCGCAAGCCUGAUGCAGCCAUGCCGCGUGUAUGAUGAAGGCCUUCGGGUUGUAAAGUUCUGUCAGCAGGGAGGCGUUACCCGCAGAGGAAGCACCGGCUAACUCCGUGCCAGCAGCCGCGGUAAUAC
RNAcentral lists this ribosomal RNA (406 nucleotides) under uncultured bacterium. RNAcentral's name for it is "partial 16S ribosomal RNA". It matches the Rfam family "Bacterial small subunit ribosomal RNA", at positions 30 to 526 of the family's 1533-position model. The record is from RNAcentral.